Molecule: long non-coding RNA, 702 nt
Organism: Amphimedon queenslandica
Lineage: Eukaryota; Metazoa; Porifera; Demospongiae; Haplosclerida; Niphatidae
Exons: 5
Source: RefSeq, a predicted model, not a curated record
GCAACUUUACACUACCACGAGGUGAGUUGCAGAGUUGGAGACAAGAAGGCAGUAAUGGAGUAUGAUGCUGCAAGUUGUAUUGCAGUCCUCUUGGUUAAUAGAUAGUUUUAAUUAGUGAAAGGCUGUUAUGAUUGACUGAACACGAUGGAAUCAAUCAGGCAGCAGCUGCAAGUAUUGCAUUGAUGAGGUUAUGAAAUGAUUCGAAAGUUUUAGGUGUCUGUUGAUUUUGAUGCAUUUCAGUGUCCUAAUUAGCUUUGACAAGAGAUUAAUCAGGUGAUUGGCAAUGCAAUGGUCCACAUAACAUGCAAGAAGAAUACUACUGAACUUAUGAAAAAACAGGAAGUGCUUCUUAUGAUGUAUGUGACAGAGAGAGAUUGUUAUCAUUGCUCUAGUUUGUAUGAUUUCCCUCCCAUGUGACUGAAAUUCCUCAUUUCUUACAUAAUGCAUCUAGUUUUGACAAUGCAUGACCACUGCUAAUGGAAAUUUAACCUCUGCUAAUGGAGUGCUCCUCCUAUGGCUGCUAAUGGAUGGAAACUUUCACUGAUACAUUAUCUAUUUUUAGAUAUGUCGGGAAUGAAAAGAUAUUUAUAUAGCAAAGGAAAGGACAAUGAAACUUGAUUAUUUUUAGUAUUGAAUGCUCUUUCAUUUUUUUGAGUUUUAAUUUUAAUAGUUUGAGUUUCACAGAAAGUUUUAUCAAUGUCA